This 574-nucleotide unclassified non-coding RNA is filed under the name Hedyotis lallanii. Its description in RNAcentral is "Hedyotis microphylla sequence contains ITS1, 5.8S rRNA gene, ITS2". Lineage: Eukaryota; Viridiplantae; Streptophyta; Magnoliopsida; Gentianales; Rubiaceae. The record is from RNAcentral.
CCUGACCUGGGGUCAUUGUCGGGGGCCCGAGGGCUCCGGGGUCUUGGACGCCCCGUCGCCGGUCGCGUCACGGCUUCGAUCGAGUUGAGCGUUUCAACCUCCACUCGUCGUGACGUCCCGGGACGGGGACUCCGUUUUGGGCCGACCGCAUGCUCGAGACACGGGGGGCCAAUGUCCGUCACCCGCCGCAGGGCGCGUGCGAGGGGGGUGGCGACGAUGCGUGACGCCCAGGCAGGCGUGCCCUCGGCCUAAUGGCUUCGGGCGCAACUUGCGUUCAAAAACUCGAUGGUUCACGGGAUUCUGCAAUUCACACCAAGUAUCGCAUUUCGCUACGUUCUUCAUCGAUGCGAGAGCCUAGAUAUCCGUUGCCGAGAGUCGUAUUGGUUAUAUUUCAGACGCGCCGCGUCCUCCCGACGGAAGCCGUGGGAGGGGGACGCGGACGAUCCGUUCGAGUAGUCCUUGACGCGUUCCGCGCCGGGAGUUUUGUUAGGUUCGGUGGACGGCCGAACGUGGUCCGGCCGCGCCCCCGAUUUCGUUGUCAAACGUGUUCGCGGUGGUUCGCAGGAUUCGACAA